Molecule: long non-coding RNA, 1144 nt
Filed under: Mytilus galloprovincialis (Mediterranean mussel)
Lineage: Eukaryota; Metazoa; Mollusca; Bivalvia; Mytilida; Mytilidae
Source: RNAcentral
GAAAAUUGGUACCGUUAAUUUUAUUACUACCACUGGGUCGAUGCCUCUGCUGGUGGAUUAUUAGUCCCGAGGGUAUCACAAGCUCAGUAGCCAGUACUUCGGUACUGGCAUGAAAAUACGGAUUUUUUUGUGCUAUUAAAAUUUGCUGUUACAAAACGAUAGAAAUUAUUAUAAAUUAAGGAAUGUAUCUCCCUCAUGCAAAGCUCUGAUUCCUUCCACGGAUUUGGCUAUACUUUUUGGAUCUUUUGGAUUAUAGCUCUUCAUCUUUUACAUAAGCUUUGGAUUUCAAAUAUUUUGGCCACGAAUGGUACCGUUAAUUUUAUUACCCGGAUUUUGUUUCUCUAAAUUGAUUUAUGACUUUUGAACAGCGAUAUACUAUUGCUGUCUUAAUUUGACUAUGUCAGGAGAGUGAAUAAACUUUUUCAGAAGUCAUUAAUGGUAAGUUAUCUCCAAUACCAUUUAAAGUUGUGAUUGCUUUGCUCUGUAUUCUGCCCCACUGUUAAUCUCAUUAAUGUUUUUAAAACUGCUAGUUGGUCUGCAUGAAGCAGUUUGUAUUCAUAGCAAUAAAAUACACACAUACCCACUAAAUUAUUGCGUUGCGUUGUGUAUUUUGAUCAUAAGCUUAACUAAGGUGUUAAAGAUAGAACUACGUCUGCCAUUAUAAGUUUCUAUUCAAUAUUGGUCUAUAUGAAGCGGUUUGUAUUCAUAGCAAUAAAAUAGAGGGGGGGCAAAGGGGGUCCCCAUAACAGCAAAACAGUGAAUUGAUUUGGUGAAAAACAGAUAACAAGGAAUUGAAAAGGGACAAUAACAGAUAACAGUAAAUGAAAUAUGAAAAUAAAUCUGUCCAGGACCAAUCCAGUAGAUGACUCGUAGAUCUUAGUAUAUAACUUGUGGUAUGGACCUAGAAAAUUGUAAUUUGUGUAAACAAGACGUUUCGGCCGUUGAGGCAGUUCUGCUUUGGUUGAUUUUUUUCCGUAACUUGUACAAUAAGUUAUAGUAUGGAUGUUGAAUUUUUCUGAACGAAAUUACUAGUUUCUGUUUUUGGUAUACGGAUAUUUUUAAUCUAAGGCAUUUGAGGGAUCAAUUUUUAAUGAUUUAGUUUUUUUUUUUAUUUAAUUUUUGAAAGUAGUGCAGCCAGUGACAC